AGGAACUGGCUCUUCUAAUUCGUAAACCCCCUCCGAACCGGUCGCUGAUGCGACGUCGCUCGUCAACAAAAAGUUUGUUCUUGUGGCGAUGGUCGCAACUGCACAUCCAAUGAGAAGCUCUCUUUCUCUGACAUCAUCAGCGAUACACUCAAAAUCAAAUGGCUACAAGCAUGGUCUGGAACGCUGGACGAGACGAGAAUGCAGAUUAAUAGAGUUGAUUAACGAAAGGGAAUAUCUGUGGGAUUUUAAUUCGGAUUUUAUUUUCGUCUUUCCAAUCUGUCCAUCUUGUAACUUAUACUUGAACAAGAC
RNAcentral lists this long non-coding RNA (309 nucleotides) under Androctonus crassicauda. Lineage: Eukaryota; Metazoa; Arthropoda; Arachnida; Scorpiones; Buthidae. The record is from RNAcentral.